UACGAAGGUGGCAAGCGUUACUCGGAAUUACUAGGCGUAAAGGGCAAGUAGGCGGUUUGGUUAGUCUAUUGUGAAAGCUCCCGGCUUAACCGGGAGAGGCCAAUGGAUACUGCCAGACUUGAGUAUGGGAGAGGGUACUGGAAUUCCCGGUGUAGCGGUGAAAUGCGCAGAUAUCGGGAGGAACACCGAUGGCGAAAGCAGGUACCUGGACCAUUACUGACGCUCAUCUGCGAAAGCUAGGGGAGCAAACAGG
This 253-nucleotide ribosomal RNA is filed under the name uncultured bacterium. RNAcentral's name for it is "partial 16S ribosomal RNA". It matches the Rfam family "Bacterial small subunit ribosomal RNA", at positions 524 to 776 of the family's 1533-position model. The record is from RNAcentral.